RNAcentral lists this ribosomal RNA (511 nucleotides) under uncultured bacterium. RNAcentral describes it as "bacterial SSU rRNA". It matches the Rfam family "Bacterial small subunit ribosomal RNA", at positions 1 to 508 of the family's 1533-position model. The record is from RNAcentral.
CGGGAUUAGGGUUUGAUUAUGGCUCAGGAUGAACGCUAGCGGCAGGCCUAACACAUGCAAGUCGAGGGGUAACAGGAAAGCUUGCUUUUGCUGACGACCGGCGCACGGGUGCGUAACGCGUAUGCAACCUACCUCAUACUGGAGGAUAGCCCCUGGAAACGGGGAUUAAUACUCCAUAGUAUCACGAAUUCGCAUGUUUUUGUGAUUAAAGUUUUUCGGUAUGAGAUGGGCAUGCGUCCCAUUAGCUUGUUGGUGAGGUAACGGCUCACCAAGGCAACGAUGGGUAGGGGGCCUGAGAGGGUGGUCCCCCACACUGGUACUGAGACACGGACCAGACUCCUACGGGAGGCAGCAGUGAGGAAUAUUGGUCAAUGGAGGCAACUCUGAACCAGCCAUGCCGCGUGAAGGAUGACGGCCCUAUGGGUUGUAAACUUCUUUUAUAGAGGAAGAAACUUGUCUACGUGUAGACAACUGACGGUACUCUACGAAUAAGGAUCGGCUAACUCCGUGC